GACCUGCAACAAACGUUUGCUUCCUCUUUGUGCUCUUUAACCUCACAGCUGCUCCUCUCUUUUGUUGCUACAUUACUGGAGACACGGUGGCAGACCCUUCCCCCCGGGUAGAGCCCAGGUGCGCUUAAAAUUUUUAUGAAGGCCACAAAGCUUCUUUUAGAUGGACGUGCUGCCGCUGCGCUGCUUAAAUUCUCAAAAGGUCCGCUCCUGGACUUGGUCCAAGCUCCUCAGAGCUGCUUAGUUACCUGAGAAGUUUGGAGCAAGUACAGGAUCUCUGACCUUUGUCUGCAUCAAAUGUUCUCGGUGUCGUUUCAAAAGUUCUGCCUUCAGGAGUUUGAGACUUCUCUGGGACCGUAAAGAUUGCUAGGACCCUGCUGGAUUAUGGGAAAUCCAGGACUUCACCACGGACUUCACAUCCGCACAGAUUGUCCCAAUCUGUACUAAAAUCAUACAUAUAGAAGAUUUCUGCUUCUCCACCUUGCCUUGAAAGAACCCCAGGAGUUUGUUUGAAUUCAUCCAUUUUUACAUGUACAGCUUCUAGCUCACCAAUCAGCAUAUAAUUUGUUUUGCCUGUUGUGUGUAUCGGUCAGGAGAAAAAGCCAAAAAUAAAUGUUUUUCAUUGUGAACUGAUUACACCAAUGUUCUA
Poecilia latipinna (sailfin molly) is the source of this 646-nucleotide long non-coding RNA. RefSeq lists it as uncharacterized. The record is from RefSeq and is a predicted model, not a curated record. Lineage: Eukaryota; Metazoa; Chordata; Actinopteri; Cyprinodontiformes; Poeciliidae. The transcript is spliced from 2 exons.